This 488-nucleotide ribosomal RNA is filed under the name uncultured bacterium. RNAcentral's name for it is "partial 16S ribosomal RNA". It matches the Rfam family "Bacterial small subunit ribosomal RNA", at positions 28 to 506 of the family's 1533-position model. The record is from RNAcentral.
GACGAACGCUGGCGGCGUGCUUAACACAUGCAAGUCGAACGGAAAGGCCCUGCUUUUGUGGGGUGCUCGAGUGGCGAACGGGUGAGUAACACGUGAGUAACCUGCCCUUGACUUUGGGAUAACUUCAGGAAACUGGGGCUAAUACCGGAUAGGAGCUCCUGCUGCAUGGUGGGGGUUGGAAAGUUUCGGCGGUUGGGGAUGGACUUGCGGCUUAUCAGCUUGUUGGUGGGGUAGUGGCUUACCAAGGCUUUGACGGGUAGCCGGUCUGAGAGGGUGACCGGCGAGAGGGGGGCUGGGAAACGGCCCCGACGACGACGGGAGGCAGAAGUGGGGAAUAGUCCGCAAUGGGCGAAAGCCGGAGGGAGCCACGCGGCGUGGGUGAUGAAGGCCGUGGGGUGGGAAAGCUGUGUUAAGCGGGACGAAAGGCCGUGUUGGGAAUAGGGACAAGGAUGGAGGGAACCGGAAAAGAAAGCAACGGCCAAGUACGU